UCCUGAAAUUCAGAAUCUUACUUAGAAUCUAUUUAAAGUAGGGGGGGAAAACCAUGUCAAGAAAGACCAGGUGGAAAACGGAUUUCCAAUAAAAUGGAAUUUGGGGGCAACAAAGGUCUAAAACGCCACAAAAGAGAAAUGGCACCACAAUUUUACUUGAACGAUGGCUAAUUACUUGCAUUUUUGGCAUUGUUAAUCACUGAAUCUGGGUUUUCCUCUGAAUUCCACAUAGAACAUGCACUGCACAAUUUUAUCGUAAAAUGCCUGCUUUUUACACACAUUUUAGGAUAAGCUAGGGAGGCGGCAGUUUUAAUAAGCAAGGAAACUUACUUACAUAGGAGGCUUAACACAGGAGGCUGCAAGACGAGUGCACCUCUGCACUCACUCGCCAAAAUGUUAAGAGUUUAUACAGAAGCCUUACCUGGGUUCUCUCACAUGUAUUGUACAGUCUCAGCAACACUUUGCUCUCUCAAGGUUGCAUCUUUGAAAUGACUCCGGCUACGGGAACCAUGAGCGGAACGUAUAUUCCAAGUCCAGGACAGGAGGUGAGGAGCCUCUAACUGCGUGGUCCCGCUCGCGGGUCAACUGGCGGUCAGAUCCUCUUGACGACCUUCUCCAGCAAUACCUCCGUCGUCAUUCUCUCAGGAAAAUGAAACAUGAAGUGCCAACAUUUUGCUUUACAAAGCUUUUACGAAAGUCCCUGGUUUUGAAUCUGCAAAGAAAUCAUAGUAGAAAGUUAUACUUCUAAGGAUCUCCAAUACCUGACAUCCUGCAUAUCCAAAUUUCCAACUUCCAUACAGAUCUGAAGCUGCAGACAUGGGAUAUCCAAUGCUACUGACCCCUAUGUCAGUAACAGCCAGAUAAGAAAAUGGAAAAACACAAAGCUGAGGGAAUUUGCUCACUGUUGCAUAGAUACUAAAGGAUGAAAUCCAAAGUGCAAGAGUUUUCCAAUACAGCAUUCUGGGAAUGAGCUGAAUUUCCACCUUGUCUUCAACAACAAUACAGUCUGCUCUCUUUUUUUACAACUUUCAUUUUCUUUCCAGGACCUUAAUUAGAUUUCCAGGAUCUUAAUUAGAUUCCACCACCAAAGAGAAGACGACACAGAGGAUGUGUGAGAAUAGUAAAUGACCUAAAAAUACUUUUUUGCCAUGGUACACACUCUUCCCCAAUAAAGCCUUAAUUUGACAAUGUAAUAACCAAAUAUAUGGAUGAUUAUUAAAAAAUUAUUCAUUUUAUA
This is a long non-coding RNA of Leopardus geoffroyi (Geoffroy's cat), 1237 nucleotides long. RefSeq lists it as uncharacterized. The transcript is spliced from 4 exons. NCBI's taxonomy places the organism in Eukaryota, Metazoa, Chordata, Mammalia, Carnivora, Felidae. The record is from RefSeq and is a predicted model, not a curated record.